AACAUUGUUAGUCUAUAAACGCCCUGACACACAUCCCUCUGUCAACUGGAGCUUACCUAUGCAGUUGUAACGAGGGUUGAGUAUCAUAGUGAUUCACAAGAUAAAAUGGAUCUUGCUGAUGCUCUGGGUGGACCAGAAUUGUCAAGCCAGAACAACCCACAGAGUGGGCCGCCUAACCAGCCAACAUGGCCAGGACAGCCGGGUGCUCCACCUGCUUGGCCUGGACAAUAUCCAAAUCCUUCCCAACCAGUGUGGCCUGGACAACCAGGAGUUGGUCAGCCUGGUCAGCCAACCUGGCCUGGACAACCAGCAAAUCCUUCCCAACCAGUGUGGCCUGGACAACCAGGAGUUGGUCAGCCUGGUCAGCCAACAUGGCCUGGACAACCAGCAAACCCUUCCCAGCCAAUGUGGCCUGGACAACCAGGAGUAGGUCAGCCUGGCCAGCCAACAUGGCCUGGACAACCUGGGGGUCAGCCUGGCCAGCCAACAUGGCCCGGACAACCCAGCCAACCCACUGCACCUGGAUGGCCAAGCCCAAACCCUGGUCUUGGUCCUGGCCCGGGCCUUGCCCCACCAACUGCUCCACAACAAAUACCACUGAGUGUCCCAUUUAAACAGCACCUGCCUAGGGGCUGCUACAACAGGAUGGUCAUCACCAUUCACGGAAUGGUUAACCCGAAUGCCAAAAAGAUCACAUUGAACUUGUCCAAAGGAAAUGACAUUGCCCUACAUGUCAACCCCCGCUUCGAUGAAAUGGGCAAGAAAACGAUUGUGUGUAACAGUAUGAUAGGAGGUCACUGGGGCAAAGAGGAGAGACACAACACCCACUUCCCAUUUAUUCAGGGCAAGCCUUUUGAGAUGAAGAUCAUGUGCACUGACAUGGGGUUUAAGGUGGCAGUGAACAACAUUCACAUCAUGGAUUUCAAACAUCGCAUUCAUGACCUCGCGUCGAUCAACAUACUGGACGUUUACAGUGAUAUCACCCUAACAUCUGUGGACGUCAUCUCUAUCUAAUAUCUAACUGUUGGUUCCAGUCAUAGGCUUGACCAUUCUAGUCAUUAUAUUUCUAUCAGGUUAUAUGAAUAUAUAUGAGUCCCGCAACCUAGAGAUUAAACAGAAACAUACAGUAGCUUGGGUCCUCUGCUCUUAUCUAUGACUAUCAUAUUCUGUACUUCUACUAGACCAGACCAAUCAAUUCUUUGUGUGGAAAUGCAUAAAAUGAUUACAAUCUUUGGAUAAAGGAGUUACCCAACAUUUUGAA
Molecule: long non-coding RNA, 1261 nt
Organism: Esox lucius (northern pike)
Lineage: Eukaryota; Metazoa; Chordata; Actinopteri; Esociformes; Esocidae
Product: galectin-3
Exons: 6
Source: RefSeq, a predicted model, not a curated record